RNAcentral lists this ribosomal RNA (253 nucleotides) under uncultured bacterium. Its description in RNAcentral is "partial 16S ribosomal RNA". It matches the Rfam family "Bacterial small subunit ribosomal RNA", at positions 524 to 776 of the family's 1533-position model. The record is from RNAcentral.
GACGAACCGUCCUAACGUUAUUCGGAAUCACUGGGCUUAAAGGGCGCGUAGGCGGAUGAGCAAGUCCGGAGUGAAAUCUUUCGGCUUAACCGGAAAAGUGCUUUGGAUACUGCUUGUCUUGAGGGAGGUAGGGGCAUGUGGAACUUCUGGUGGAGCGGUGAAAUGCGUUGAUAUCAGAAGGAACGCCGGUGGCGAAAGCGACGUGCUGGCCCUCUUCUGACGCUGAGGCGCGAAAGCUAGGGGAGCAAACAGG